Molecule: ribosomal RNA, 460 nt
Filed under: uncultured bacterium
Lineage: Bacteria
Description: partial 16S ribosomal RNA
Rfam family: Bacterial small subunit ribosomal RNA
Source: RNAcentral
CCUACGGGAGACAGCAGUGAGGAAUAUUGGUCAAUGGCCGGAAGGCUGAACCAGCCAUGCCGCGUGAAGGUCAGUGCCCUAUGGGCGUUAAACUUCUUUUGUGCGGGAGCAAUAAUGGUCACGUGUGGCCAGACGAGAGUACCGUACGAAUAAGCAUCGGCUAACUCCGUGCCAGCAGCCGCGGUAAUACGGGGGAUGCAAGCGUUAUCCGGAUUUAUUGGGUUUAAAGGGUGCGUAGGCUGUGAGGUAAGUCAGCGGUGAAAUGCCCGCGCUCAACGGGGUGAAGUGCCAUUGAUACUGCCUUGCUGGAAUGCGGAUGCCGUGGGAGGAAUGUGUGGUGUAGCGGUGAAAUGCAUAGAUAUCACACAGAACACCGAUUGCGAAGGCAGCUCACGAAUCCGCGAUUGACGCUGAUGCACGAAAGCGUGGGUAUCAAACAGGAUUAGAUACCCCUGUAGUC